AUUUUAAUUGCUUUGACGAUGAUGAUUUCUUUAAAUUCCCUCACAAAUUCCCUGGGUUCGAGUCAAAUGGAAGUGGCGUUUUCGAAUUUGAGUCGAAACCUCAAAUUAUCAAUCUCACGACACCCAAGCCCCUCUCUUCAAACGCCUUUGCUUUCAAAUUUGAAGUCAAACCUCAAAUCGUUGAACUUUCAGCGACAAAACCUCCAAUUUAUUCGAACUCGAGCUGUCAGAAUCGAAAACCGUCGCUAAAAAUCUCGUUACCACAUAAGGU
This 271-nucleotide long non-coding RNA is filed under the name Durio zibethinus. RNAcentral describes it as "long non-coding RNA (DZIB_LNC002067)". The record is from RNAcentral. Lineage: Eukaryota; Viridiplantae; Streptophyta; Magnoliopsida; Malvales; Malvaceae.